RNAcentral lists this ribosomal RNA (492 nucleotides) under uncultured bacterium. Its description in RNAcentral is "partial 16S ribosomal RNA". It matches the Rfam family "Bacterial small subunit ribosomal RNA", at positions 29 to 507 of the family's 1533-position model. The record is from RNAcentral.
AGUGAACGCUGGCGGUAGGCCUAACACAUGCAAGUCGAACGGCAGCACAGUAAGAGCUUGCUCUUACGGGUGGCGAGUGGCGGACGGGUGAGGAAUACAUCGGAAUCUACUUUUUCGUGGGGGAUAACGGAGGGAAACUUACGCUAAUACCGCAUACGACCUACGGGUGAAAUCAGGGGAUCUUCGGACCUUGCGCGAUUGAAUGAGCCGAUGUCGGAUUAGCUAGUUGGCGGGGUAAAGGCCCACCAAGGCGACGAUCCGUAGCUGGUCUGAGAGGAUGAUCAGCCACACUGGAACUGAGACACGGUCCAGACUCCUACGGGAGGCAGCAGUGGGGAAUAUUGGACAAUGGGCGCAAGCCUGAUCCAGCCAUACCGCGUGGGUGAAGAAGGCCUUCGGGUUGUAAAGCCCUUUUGUUGGGAAAGAAAAGCAGCAGGUUAAUCCACCGAUGUUCUGACGGUACCCAAAGAAUAAGCAACGGCUAACUUCGUG